GAGAAUAAGAACUAGAACCACAACUAUAUCUUAAAAGCCUGAGUAGUGUUUGCUUA
This 56-nucleotide small RNA is filed under the name Arabidopsis thaliana (thale cress). RNAcentral's name for it is "ATSL163010". The record is from RNAcentral. Lineage: Eukaryota; Viridiplantae; Streptophyta; Magnoliopsida; Brassicales; Brassicaceae.